This 303-nucleotide long non-coding RNA is filed under the name Capsella rubella. RNAcentral describes it as "long non-coding RNA (CRUB_LNC002170)". The record is from RNAcentral. Lineage: Eukaryota; Viridiplantae; Streptophyta; Magnoliopsida; Brassicales; Brassicaceae.
UCAAAGUUCGGAUCAACAUGCAGAUAUCUUCACCAAGGUAGCAAAUUCAAGGGUGUGCAAAUUCAUUCUAAGUAAGCUUGGCUUAGUUGAUAUUCACAAACCUAAAAUGUGAUUGUUGUGCUCUUUUCCCUUAUCCAUGGUUUUUCCCAUUGGGUUUUCCUAGUAAGGUUUUUAACAAGGCAACUCCAUUCUAGGCAUGAUCUCCUUAUGCCAAGCUUGAGGGGGAAUGUUGGAAAGCAUCAUAUUGGAAAUCAUCAUCAUUAAUGUCUUGUCUCUCUCCUUCAUGCAAGCCAUUUAUAACAG